GACGGGGGAUGCAAGCGAUAUCCGGAAUCACUGUGCGUAAAGCGUCGGUAGGUGGUGAUGCAAGUCACUGGUGCAAAACUCUGGCUCAACCGGAGGAAAGCCAGUGAAACUGCAUGACUAGAGUGUGGGAGAGGUAGAAGGAAUUCCCUGAGUAGCGGUGAAAUGCGUAGAUACAGGGAAGAACACCGGAGGCGAAAGCGUUCUACUGGAACACAACUGACACUGAGAGACGAAAGCUAGGGGAGCGAAGGGG
This 253-nucleotide ribosomal RNA is filed under the name uncultured bacterium. RNAcentral's name for it is "partial 16S ribosomal RNA". It matches the Rfam family "Bacterial small subunit ribosomal RNA", at positions 524 to 776 of the family's 1533-position model. The record is from RNAcentral.